GGGGCCGUUUAGGAUUCGACGCCGGUUGCGAAACUUUAGGUGCAUGCCGAGUUGGUAACAGAACUCGUAAAUCCACUGUUGCAACUUCUAUAGUUGCCAAUGACGAUAAAUACGGCCAGGAAUUCGCUAUCGCUGCGUAAGCAGCCUUAGAUCCUGAGCUUCUGGUACCUUCGGGUCCAGCAAUCAUUAGGGGAUGUCCGUAAACCCAAAGUGAUUGUCAUAUAGAACGGAAUCGCCGUGCAGUACGUUGUGGACGAAGCGGCUAAAACUUACACAACUCGCCCAAAGCACCCUGCCCGUCGGGUCGCUGAGGGUUAACUUAAUAGACACGGCUACGCAUGUAGUACCGACAGCAGAGUACUGGCGGACGGGGGUUCAAAUCCCCCCGGCUCCACCA
Molecule: transfer-messenger RNA, 397 nt
Filed under: Pseudomonadaceae
Lineage: Bacteria; Pseudomonadati; Pseudomonadota; Gammaproteobacteria; Pseudomonadales
Also listed under: 2 other names
Description: Pseudomonas_E fluorescens_AA Standard tmRNA
Rfam family: transfer-messenger RNA
About the family: Bacterial tmRNA, also known as 10Sa RNA or SsrA, is named for its dual tRNA and mRNA-like properties. Its role is to liberate the mRNA from a stalled ribosome.
Source: RNAcentral